UGGGGAAUUUUGGACAAUGGGCGAAAGCCUGAUCCAGCAAUGCCGCGUGUGUGAAGAAGGCCUUCGGGUUGUAAAGCACUUUUGUCCGGAAAGAAAUCCUUGGCUCUAAUACAGUCGGGGGAUACGGUACCGGAAGAAUAAGCACCGGCUAACUACGUGCCAGCAGCCGCGGUAAUACGUAGGGUGCAAGCGUUAAUCGGAAUUACUGGGCGUAAAAGCUGCGCAGGCGGUUUGCUAAGACCCGAUGUGAAAUCCCCGGGCUCAACCUGGGAACUGCAUUGGUGACUGGCAGGGCUAGAGNAUGGCAGAGGGGGGUAGAAUUCCACGUGUANCAGUGAAAUGCGUAGAGAUGUGGAGGAAUACCGAUGGCGAAGGCA
Molecule: ribosomal RNA, 377 nt
Filed under: uncultured bacterium
Lineage: Bacteria
Description: partial 16S ribosomal RNA
Rfam family: Bacterial small subunit ribosomal RNA
Source: RNAcentral